CCGCAAGGGACAACCGGCGAACGGGUGCGUAACACGUGAACAACCUGCCCUCGUGUGGGGGAUAGCCGGGCUAACGCCCGGGUAAUACCGCAUACGUUUUCCUGGGGGAGUCCUCGGGAAAGGAAAGCUCCGGCGCACGGGGAGGGGUUCGCGGCCUAUCAGCUAGUUGGCGGGGUAACGGCCCACCAAGGCGACGACGGGUAGCUGGUCUGAGAGGAUGGCCAGCCACAUUGGGACUGAGAGACGGCCCAGACUCCUACGGGAGGCAGCAGUGGGGAAUCUUGCGCAAUGGCCUAACGGCUGACACAGUGACGCCGCGUGUGGGAGGACGCCUUUCGGGGUGUAAACCACUGUUGCCCGGGACGAACACCUCUUUUCGAAGAGGCUGACGGUACCGGGUGAGGAAGCACCGGCUAACUCCGUGCCAGCAGCCGCGGUAAUACGGAGGGUGCGAGCGUUGUCCGGAAUCAUUGGGCGUAAAGGGCGCGUAGGUGGCCCGGUCAGUCCGUGGUGAAAGCGCGGGGCUCAACCCUGCGUCGGCCAUGGAUACUGCCGCGGCUGGAGCACUGUAGAGGCAGGCGGAAUUCCGGGUGUAGCGGUGGAAUGCGUAGAGAUCCGGAAGAACACCGGUGGCGAAGGCGGCCUGCUGGGCAGUGGGGUGAAGACCCCUUCAAGCUGACACUGAGGCGCGACAGCGUGGGGAGCAAACAGGAUUAGAUACCCUGGUAGUCCACGCCGUAAACGAUGGGCACUAGGCGCUUGGGGGAGCGACCCCCCGAGGGCCGGCGCUAACGCAUUAAGUGCCCCGCCUGGGGAGUA
RNAcentral lists this ribosomal RNA (819 nucleotides) under uncultured Gemmatimonadota bacterium. RNAcentral describes it as "bacterial SSU rRNA". It matches the Rfam family "Bacterial small subunit ribosomal RNA", at positions 82 to 882 of the family's 1533-position model. Lineage: Bacteria; Pseudomonadati; Gemmatimonadota. The record is from RNAcentral.